Molecule: ribosomal RNA, 399 nt
Filed under: Paenibacillus sp. S_1.18
Lineage: Bacteria; Bacillati; Bacillota; Bacilli; Caryophanales; Paenibacillaceae
Description: bacterial SSU rRNA
Rfam family: Bacterial small subunit ribosomal RNA
Source: RNAcentral
GACAGGUGGUGCAUGGUUGUCGUCAGCUCGUGUCGUGAGAUGUUGGGUUAAGUCCCGCAACGAGCGCAACCCUUGAUUUUAGUUGCCAGCACGUUAAGGUGGGCACUCUAGGAUGACUGCCGGUGACAAACCGGAGGAAGGUGGGGAUGACGUCAAAUCAUCAUGCCCCUUAUGACCUGGGCUACACACGUACUACAAUGGCCGAUACAACGGGAAGCGAAACCGCGAGGUGGAGCCAAUCCUAUCAAAGUCGGUCUCAGUUCGGAUUGCAGGCUGCAACUCGCCUGCAUGAAGUCGGAAUUGCUAGUAAUCGCGGAUCAGCAUGCCGCGGUGAAUACGUUCCCGGGUCUUGUACACACCGCCCGUCACACCACGAGAGUUUACAACACCCGAAGCCGG